Molecule: transfer RNA, 67 nt
Filed under: Graptomyza sp.
Lineage: Eukaryota; Metazoa; Arthropoda; Insecta; Diptera; Syrphidae
Description: tRNA-His
Source: RNAcentral
AUUUAAAUAGUUUAAAAUAAAAUAUUGAUUUGUGGUGUCGAUGAUAUGAAUUUAUUCAUUUUAAAUU